This 146-nucleotide ribosomal RNA is filed under the name Cystobasidiomycetes sp. Its description in RNAcentral is "partial small subunit ribosomal RNA". It matches the Rfam family "Eukaryotic small subunit ribosomal RNA", at positions 1398 to 1544 of the family's 1831-position model. Lineage: Eukaryota; Fungi; Basidiomycota; Cystobasidiomycetes. The record is from RNAcentral.
GGCCGCUGGCUUCUUAGAGGGACAAUUGGCGUUUAGCCAAUGGAAGUGAGGCAAUAACAGGUCUGUGAUGCCCUUAGAUGUUCUGGGCCGCACGCGCGCUACACUGACCGAGCCAGCGAGUUCACCCACCUUGGCCGGAAGGCCUG